UAUUUUUCUUUAUUCUAUACCCUAGCAGGAUAAGGUCUGUCCACCCGGAUUCUUUGCUCUAAUAUCAAUUUGAAAGAGGUAACCUUUUUCCCUUCACUGUAUCUGUUCAAGUUUUGUGGAUUGUCCCAUCAACAAUUUGAAUUUUCAAAUUUGAGUUCAAUUGGGAGCCUUUGAGAAGCUUGAACACUCCAAAAUAUGCCAAUAAAAAGAGGGCUUCAGCCAUUCCUUUGGGGGAACAAGCUUUAAAAACUGAAAAAAGAAGAAGGAAAAAAGUGGAAAUCAAGGAAAAAGCAGGGAAGAAGGGGAACAAGCAGGAGAACAGCAAGAAAGGGCUUAAAAAAAAGAAAAAAAUCUCUGCGAGAAAAAGAUUCCCGUGUUGAGUCCAUCGCUGGAAAACACUUGACGAGAAGCUCCAUUUUGCUGCCCGAAGAAAGCAUUUUAGGGUUGGCUAACUUUAAGAAUGGAGUAACAACAAAUGAAGUCAUCACGGGUCAUUACGUAGGCUCAUUUUUUUUAUAAUGAACGUCACUGUCCGUAAAUUUAACAAUGAGAAUCUCUUACAUUUAAGUGUGCAUUUGCCAGUACCAUUGAUGUAAGUAUGAGUGGUAUAAAGUGAUUUUGAGCUUUCAUGGCUGCACGGACAAUUAUCGAGAUGAUUGUGAGCCCUUUCCUAUUAAAGUUGUGUUUUAGUUGAUCUUUUGCGUUCAUGUUUGGUAUUUGUUCCCCAGCUUGUAUUCUCACGUACAUUUGUUAUUUCAUAAGUGUCUAAUCUUUAUUUUCAUUUUUUUUUCUCAUGUAAAUUUGGGAGUUGGAGUUCCGCAAUGGAACUCAAUUCGACCCACAUUAUUGGGUCAACACCUAUAGAGUCAUCAAUGUUCGGAUGCUACAUCAUUAGGAGUCAAUUCUUUCGAAAGAACUUAGCGUACCUUCUACUUUUUUUUU
Molecule: long non-coding RNA, 942 nt
Organism: Capsicum annuum
Lineage: Eukaryota; Viridiplantae; Streptophyta; Magnoliopsida; Solanales; Solanaceae
Exons: 2
Source: RefSeq, a predicted model, not a curated record